Pantherophis guttatus is the source of this 2552-nucleotide non-coding RNA. The record is from RefSeq and is a predicted model, not a curated record. NCBI's taxonomy places the organism in Eukaryota, Metazoa, Chordata, Lepidosauria, Squamata, Colubridae.
AGUGGUACCAGAAGAACAGCUGGACUUUGGCCUCUGGAGACACACGGAGGAGAGGCUAGCUGCAGGGAGCUGGAGGAGAGGCAGAGGAGAAUAAAUAUUUUGGAACAACAGCUGCAGUUCGAGAGAGAGGAGUACAAGAGCCUCCUCUGCAGAGUUCUGCAGCACGCUGGGGAGAAACGGGAGCUCCUCACGGAGAUUAAAACUCUCCAAGAACAGCUGGAGAAAUGAGAAAUAUUUAGAAGGGAAUCCUUCCUUCCUUGCUUCCAUGAAUCGAUGCGUUGGAGGAAGAGGUAGAACGAGAAAGAAAGGAAUAUAAAAGCUUCCUCUGUAGAGUUCUGCAACAAGCUGGCAAGAAACAGGAGCUCCUCACGGAAAACAAAAGACUGAAGGAACAACUGGACAGCUGAGAAAUAUUUAGUAUCACCUAUCAUGAGAGGGCUAAUUUCUGUCUGCUCAUAAUUUACAGAAAUGCAAUGUUAUUUGAGGAGAUGGUGCAGGAAAGAGGGCAGCUAAAAGAAGAACUAAAGGCCUUAAAAUCAAAAACUUGAAGUUGAGCGAGGAGAAGGCGACCCAAAUUUACACCAUGGUAUAUUAAAGUCACUAACAGAGAAGCUCCUUUACAAAAAAUGCUCAUGUUAUUAUUGUAUCAUCAUGAAUAGAAAGAACAAAAUCCUCUUUUUUGUCCCAAUUUAAUCUUCAAAUAACUUUUUCUUUUAACCAGGAGAGGCUACACCUGAGAAUUCGUUUCCUGUCGUAAUAAGAUGUGAGGGUGAGGAUAGUGGAGGGUGGGUGAGCUGAUUUAAAUAGAAGGGAAUAUGCUGAUCUAUGCUGGUGCAUCUAUGCUCCCCUCCUUUCCCUCCUCACCAAGGAGAAAUGAUUCUCUGUCUCAGCCACAUCCAGCCAUCCCUGAAAAGGGACAAUAGAAGAACAUGGUCUCCUCGCUCAACUUCCAUAGGUUGUUAUUGCUUUAUCUUGCUAUUUCUCAGUUAUUAAUACAGUUAUUAUCAUUAACACAGUUAUUAUUGUUAUUAUAAUCAUUAUUGUCAUCGUUAUUUCAUUAGUCCUGGAACUGACCAGACUUGAAUGACCGGAGUGUCCAACAGUGGCUCAUGUCUGCACUCUUGUCUUAUCACUUCACAGGUGUGCAGCAGGGGAGCCCAAACACUGGGAGCUCCAGAACAAAUCUUCCCAGCUUCAUAAAACCGAGGCAGAACUCUGCAGGGAGCUGGAGGAGAGCCACAGGAGGAAUUCAAAAAUGUUGAAUGAAAUGGCGGAGGAGCGAGUUCAGUUAAAAAAGGAAAAUAAAGACCUUAAAAUCAAGAACUGGAAGUUGAGCGAGGAGAAGGCGACCAUCCUGCGGAAUUUCAGGGAGAGGCUGAGGAGGUGAGAAACACGUAGACAGCAGCCCUGACUGAGGGAGGGAGAGGACCAGGAUUCCUUGAAGCCGCUUAGAACUGACUUUCUAAACAAAUGAGAUCUCCUCCAGCCAAUCCUGAUCCAGGAGGAGGACUUCAGGAACUUGGAAAAGCUCCCGAGGAAUCCCAAAAUGGAUUGAAACAUCUAUUGUACUACAAAUAUCCCUAAUUUUGUAAAAUAAAGUUCCAAAAGAAGGAGAAAACUUACGAAUGUCUGGCUCCUGACACUUUUAGUCCUACAUGUAUAAAGCUAGGUCUACUUUGAGGAGCUCCUGAAGGAAAAUUUCCAGCUUGUGGAAAACAAGGCAGGACUCUGGAGGGAACUGGAGGAGAAACAGAGGAGGUGAGAAAUUUUCUGACAGCAUCCUUGACUUUCAUUGUUGGUCCAAAUUUAUCUCUAACCUUGUGAUUUUUCUAGAGAGAAAGAACUGAGGAAGAACCUCUGCAGGUGAGUGAUGUACAGAGACCAGCUGGUACCACUUAAUAGUACAGAGUCCAAAAGAAACACAAGGGCAGACAUUAGAACAAUGGAAGACAAGAGAGAAACUCUUGAAGACGUGAAACCUUUGAUGCUGCCAUAUAAACCGGAGAAGGAAUGGCUGAAAGCUUCUGGGGAGAAUCUCAAAGCCAAGAAAGCCCCACAGAGGCUUCUCCUCAGCCAUCCAGAGACUCCCUGGCAGGAAGACUCUUCUGGCAUCCCUGGUCAACCUUCCAAAGGAAGGUCCUGGAGCCUCCAGAGGGGUUGGCUGGAUGUAUCCAUAAUUCUUCUCCAAGAAAAAGGAGCAAAAACACCUCAUUGAAAUGUGCAGAAAUGGAGGGAAGUAUCUGUUCAAGCCAUUCAAGAUUGACAGACGUCUAUGGUGGAGAUCCACACUCCAUGCCUUGAGGUGAUCUUCCUUCUGAGGGGAUCCUUUGAUGGAAAGUGAGGGAUCUCCUCUUCCUUUUUCCUCCCAUUGAGCACUGAAAUGGCUUCUCCUCUUGCCUUUUUGGCUGCUGUUCCUCAGGCCUUUGAGGUCCCAAUGGAGCUGGAUAGGACUCUCCUUCCAGGUCACGUCAGACAUCAGAUUUGGCUCUGAAUCAUUCUCAUCAACUCCCUGAUAAAAAUAAAGAAAAGCCCAUUAAAAUGCAAGAAUGAGA